GCAAGUAGAAACGCUGAAGAAAGGAGCUUGCUUCUUUUGGAUGAGUUGCGAACGGGUGAGUAACGCGUAGGUAACCUGCCUUGUAGCGGGGGAUAACUAUUGGAAACGAUAGCUAAUACCGCAUAACAGCUUUUGACACAUGUUAGAAGCUUGAAAGAUGCAAUUGCAUCACUACGAGAUGGACCUGCGUUGUAUUAGCUAGUAGGUAGGGUAACGGCCUACCUAGGCGACGAUACAUAGCCGACCUGAGAGGGUGAUCGGCCACACUGGGACUGAGACACGGCCCAGACUCCUACGGGAGGCAGCAGUAGGGAAUCUUCGGCAAUGGGGGCAACCCUGACCGAGCAACGCCGCGUGAGUGAAGAAGGUUUUCGGAUCGUAAAGCUCUGUUGUAAGAGAAGAACGUGUGUGAGAGUGGAAAGUUCACACAGUGACGGUAA
Molecule: ribosomal RNA, 440 nt
Filed under: uncultured Bacillota bacterium
Lineage: Bacteria; Bacillati; Bacillota
Description: bacterial SSU rRNA
Rfam family: Bacterial small subunit ribosomal RNA
Source: RNAcentral